GCGAAAGCAGGUCAUAGUGAUCCGGUGGUUCUGAAUGGAAGGGCCAUCGCUCAACGGAUAAAAGGUACUCCGGGGAUAACAGGCUGAUACCGCCCAAGAGUUCAUAUCGACGGCGGUGUUUGGCACCUCGAUGUCGGCUCAUCACAUCCUGGGGCUGAAGUAGGUCCCAAGGGUAUGGCUGUUCGCCAUUUAAAGUGGUACGCGAGCUGGGUUUAGAACGUCGUGAGACAGUUCGGUCCCUAUCUGCCGUGGGCGCUGGAGAAUUGAGGGGGGCUGCUCCUAGUACGAGAGGACCGGAGUGGACGCAUCACUGGUGUUCGGGUUGUCAUGCCAAUGGCACUGCCCGGUAGCUAAAUGCGGAAGAGAUAAGUGCUGAAAGCAUCUAAGCACGAAACUUGCCCCG
RNAcentral lists this ribosomal RNA (403 nucleotides) under Klebsiella pneumoniae. Its description in RNAcentral is "partial 23S ribosomal RNA". It matches the Rfam family "Bacterial large subunit ribosomal RNA", at positions 2399 to 2801 of the family's 2925-position model. Lineage: Bacteria; Pseudomonadati; Pseudomonadota; Gammaproteobacteria; Enterobacterales; Enterobacteriaceae. The record is from RNAcentral.